GAGUUUGAUCCUGGCUCAGGACGAACGCUGGCGGCGUGCCUAAUACAUGCAAGUCGAGCGAGCUUGCCUAGAUGAUUUUAGUGCUUGCACUAAAUGAAACUAGAUACAAGCGAGUGGCGGACGGGUGAGUAACACGUGGGUAACCUGCCCAAGAGACUGGGAUAACACCUGGAAACAGAUGCUAAUACCGGAUAACAACACUAGACGCAUGUCUAGAGUUUGAAAGAUGGUUCUGCUAUCACUCUUGGAUGGACCUGCGGUGCAUUAGCUAGUUGGUAAGGUAACGGCUUACCAAGGCAAUGAUGCAUAGCCGAGUUGAGAGACUGAUCGGCCACAUUGGGACUGAGACACGGCCCAAACUCCUACGGGAGGCAGCAGUAGGGAAUCUUCCACAAUGGACGAAAGUCUGAUGGAGCAACGCCGCGUGAGUGAAGAAGGGUUUCGGCUCGUAAAGCUCUGUUGGUAGUGAAGAAAGAUAGAGGUAGUAACUGGCCUUUAUUUGACGGUAAUUACUUAGAAAGUCACGGCUAACUACGUGCCAGCAGCCGCGGUAAUACGUAGGUGGCAAGCGUUGUCCGGAUUUAUUGGGCGUAAAGCGAGUGCAGGCGGUUCAAUAAGUCUGAUGUGAAAGCCUUCGGCUCAACCGGAGAAUUGCAUCANAAACUGUUGAACUUGAGUGCAGAAG
RNAcentral lists this ribosomal RNA (685 nucleotides) under uncultured bacterium. RNAcentral's name for it is "bacterial SSU rRNA". It matches the Rfam family "Bacterial small subunit ribosomal RNA", at positions 9 to 654 of the family's 1533-position model. The record is from RNAcentral.